RNAcentral lists this long non-coding RNA (447 nucleotides) under Ananas comosus (pineapple). RNAcentral describes it as "long non-coding RNA (ACOM_LNC037124)". Lineage: Eukaryota; Viridiplantae; Streptophyta; Magnoliopsida; Poales; Bromeliaceae. The record is from RNAcentral.
AUCCUCUUCAUGCAAUUCCAACUGGAACAGUUUGAUCUAAAUACAUUAAAUCAAAAUACAACAUUUAGAUUUACAUGUAAUUUUAAUUAUAGCUAGCAUAGUUACAACUACAUACAACAAAAGCAUUUAGCUUUAACUUUGCAGUAAUUAGGUAUGGAAAAGUAAUCAUUAUUGUCGGAUCGUUGGCGCUAACCAUUAAUUCCAAAAGCUCGAGAUGUUAGAAAUACGCAACCAAUUCACUUAAAGCGUACAGAUAUAGUGCCUAUACGGGUCUCGAUUGUGACUCAGCCCAACCAGCCUCACGCUAUUUCUAAUAUGAUUCGGCCCAGUCAGUCUCACGCUACUUCGAAUAUGACUCGGCCCAAUAUGACCUUUUGCCAUAUGGCAGAAUGCUGGCUCAUUUUAGCCAACAACUGUAUAAUAUAUGUACGAGCAUAAAAUAUUUUA